ACGCUGUGGAAAGAAAGAACGGCACAGC
Molecule: non-coding RNA, 28 nt
Filed under: Bombyx mori (domestic silkworm)
Lineage: Eukaryota; Metazoa; Arthropoda; Insecta; Lepidoptera; Bombycidae
Source: RNAcentral